RNAcentral lists this ribosomal RNA (253 nucleotides) under uncultured bacterium. Its description in RNAcentral is "partial 16S ribosomal RNA". It matches the Rfam family "Bacterial small subunit ribosomal RNA", at positions 524 to 776 of the family's 1533-position model. The record is from RNAcentral.
GACGAACCGUGCGAACGUUGUUCGGAUUCACUGGGCUUAAAGGGCGCGUAGGCGGGUGACCAAGUCCGGGGUGAAAUCUUCCGGCCUAACCGGAAAAGUGCCUUGGAUACUGGUCGCCUGGAGGGAGGUAGGGGCACGCGGAACUUCCGGUGGAGCGGUGAAAUGCGUAGAUAUCGGAAGGAACGCCGGUGGCGAAAGCGGCGUGCUGGACCUCUUCUGACGCUGAGGCGCGAAAGCCAGGGGAGCAAACGGG